AUCUAUGGCCAGACCACCCCGAACGUGCCAGAUCUCGUCUGGUCUGGGAAGCUAAGCAGGUCGGGCCUGGUUGGUUCUUGGAUGGGAGAAUUGCUAUGGGCCAGCGGUU
Molecule: ribosomal RNA, 109 nt
Filed under: Microcebus murinus (gray mouse lemur)
Lineage: Eukaryota; Metazoa; Chordata; Mammalia; Primates; Cheirogaleidae
Source: RNAcentral